GAUGAACGCUGACAGAAUGCUUAACACAUGCAAGUCGACUCGAGUCUUCGGACUUGGGUGGCGCACGGGUGAGUAACGCGUAAAGAACUUGCCUCUUAGACCGGGACAACAUCUGGAAACGGAUGCUAAUACCGGAUAUUAUGGUUUUUUCGCAUGGAGGAAUCAUGAAAGCUAGAUGCGCUAAGAGAGAGCUUUGCGUCCCAUUAGCUAGUUGGUGAGGUAACGGCCCACCAAGGCAAUGAUGGGUAGCCGGCCUGAGAGGGUGAACGGCCACAAGGGGACUGAGACACGGCCCUUACUCCUACGGGAGGCAGCAGUGGGGAAUAUUGGACAAUGGACCACAAGUCUGAUCCAGCAAUUCUGUGUGCACGAUGACGUUUUUCGGAAUGUAAAGUGCUUUCAGUCGGGAAGAAGUCAGUGACGGUACCGACAGAAGAAGCGACGGCUAAAUACGUGUCAGCAGCCGCGGUAAUACGUAUGUCGCAAGCGUUAUCCGGAUUUAUUGGGCGUAAAGCGCGUCUAGGCGGCAAGGAAAGUCUGAUGUGAAAAUGCGGAGCUCAACUCCGUAUGGCGUUGGAAACUGCCUUACUAGAGUACUGGAGAGGUAGGCGGAACUACAAGUGUAGAUGGUGAAAUUCGUAUAUAUGUGUAGGAAUGCCGAUGGGGAAGCCAGCCUACUGGACAGAUACAGACGCUCAAGCGCGAAAGCUUGGGGUAGCAAUCAGGAUAUAAUCCCCUGGUUGUCCAAUGGGGAAUUCUCAUUGUGAUUUUAGCUUAUUGGUUACCUGCGACCUUCGUGGGGGGGAAUAAAAUAUAUAACUUUUGUUUUUUUUGGUACUUUUAUUAGUU
RNAcentral lists this ribosomal RNA (849 nucleotides) under uncultured Fusobacterium sp. Its description in RNAcentral is "bacterial SSU rRNA". It matches the Rfam family "Bacterial small subunit ribosomal RNA". The record is from RNAcentral. Lineage: Bacteria; Fusobacteriati; Fusobacteriota; Fusobacteriia; Fusobacteriales; Fusobacteriaceae.